RNAcentral lists this ribosomal RNA (116 nucleotides) under Anolis carolinensis (green anole). The record is from RNAcentral. Lineage: Eukaryota; Metazoa; Chordata; Lepidosauria; Squamata; Anolidae.
UACUGCAUAAAUACCCUAAAGGCACCAGAUCCCAUCUGAUCUUGGAAGCUAAGGAGGGUUGGAUCUGCUUAGUAUUUCAAUGGGAAACUGCCAAUGAAUGCCAGAUGCUGCAGGCU